This 1049-nucleotide long non-coding RNA is filed under the name Oryctolagus cuniculus (rabbit). RNAcentral's name for it is "lncRNA (ENSOCUG00000032649.1)". Lineage: Eukaryota; Metazoa; Chordata; Mammalia; Lagomorpha; Leporidae. The record is from RNAcentral.
UGGUAACUGUCUGCCGUGUCAUAAACACAACGACAUGACGACUUCAUGGCAGGAUGGGCCAAACGAGAAGCAGAACUGGGAGGAAAAGAAUGCUUGUUAAAGCAAAACUAUUUCCAAUCAUCAAAAGAGGGAGUAGAGGACCUCAUUCUAGCCAAGAACUGUGGAAGCUAUGUCUUACAGUAGAAACAAGCGAACCUCUCCUGGCUGACACUAGCCAUCAUGUUUCAUCUUGCAGCAAAACUACGGGUGAGAGUGAUGGUGACAGUCGUUCUGGGAGGGCAGAGUACAGGGGCGAGGGGGUGCUGCAGCCUUCCCUCAGCAGUCACUAGACUCCAGCACAGCAAGAAGAAAGGAAGGGACGUCUGCCAGCACUGCCCAUCAGAAGGGUUGGGUGCAGGGAGAAUCUAUCGCCAGCACAGUCUGUUGCAUGUGCUCCAGCUGCUUCCUCAAGCUGUGAGAUUGCCAGUCCCAUGGUGAACACUGCAUCAAAGCAUGAUGAAGAACAAAUACACGUCCAUAUAAAUAUAUGUUAUAGAAAGGCCCUUCAAACAGUUCACAGAAAAUGGAAUUAAAAUAUCACUUUAUUUUGGGGUAAAACAUUUUGAAAUCAAUGCGUCAUUUUUAUAACGCACAUUUUCCAUGAACUUAAUCAAAUAUGCCUCGUCUAUGCAUAAUGCAUAAAGUGAUAAUAUAAAGAUUCUACAUAAAAAUACAAAUAGAGGGUGGGCCUUGUGGCAUAGCAAUUACAUCACCACUUAGGAGGUCCUCAUUUCCUAUCAGAGUGCUUGGAUUUGAGUCCCAGUUGGCUCCUCCGCUUCUGAUCCAGCUUCCUGCUAAUGUGCAUCCUGGGAGGCAGCAGGUGAUGGCUCAAGUGCUAGAAUCCCUACCUCCCAUGUGGGAGACCCAGACGGAGAUCCGGCUUCCAGCUCCAGCCUGGCUCAGCCCUAGCUGUUCAUUCGAGGGUGAACAAGUGGGUCAAACAUUCUCUCUCUCUCCCCUCCUUCUGCCUUUCAAAUAAAACAAAGCAAAAUCAGUGAAUAAAAAUGUUU